CAGCAGCCGCGGGAAUACGUAGGUGGCAAGCGUUGUCCGGAAUUAUUGGGCGUAAAGGGCUCGCAGGCGGUUUCUUAAGUCUGAUGUGAAAGCCCCCGGCUCAACCGGGGAGGGUCAUUGGAAACUGGGAAACUCGAGUGCAGAAGAGGAGAGUGGAAUUCCACGUGUAGCGGUGAAUGCGUAGAGAUGUGGAGGAACACCAGUGGCGAAGGCGACUCUCUGGUCUGUAACUGACGCUGAGGAGCGAAAGCGUGGGGAGCGAACAGGAUUAGAUACCCCAGUAGUCCCUGUCUCUUAUACA
This 301-nucleotide ribosomal RNA is filed under the name uncultured bacterium. RNAcentral describes it as "partial 16S ribosomal RNA". It matches the Rfam family "Bacterial small subunit ribosomal RNA", at positions 509 to 808 of the family's 1533-position model. The record is from RNAcentral.